CCAUCCCGAUACGGCCCAAAACAAGAAGUGCCGACAGAACGAUCCAUCGAGCCCGGAAAAGGGAAAAAAAAAAAUCCAAGAAAGCGAUGGAAGGUGGCCAGCCUGACGCGACCGGCGGCGGUAGCGGAGGGGGCGGCGCCGGCGGCGGCCCUGCUCCUUUCCUUCUGAAGACCUACGACAUGGUGGACGACUCGUCCACCGACGACAUCGUCUCCUGGAGCCCCGCCAAGAACAGCUUCAUCGUCUGGAAUCACCCCGACUUCGCUGCUCGCCUCCUCCCCACCUACUUCAAGCACAAUAACUUCUCCAGCUUCAUCCGACAGCUCAAUACCUACGGUUUUCGGAAGAUCGAUCCAGAGAGGUGGGAGUUCGCGAACGAGGACUUCGUCAAGGGGCAGAAACAUUUGCUCAAGAACAUCCACCGCCGCAAGCCCAUCCACAGCCACAGUCACCCGCCGGGCUCACUCGCCUACUCCGAGCGGGCUGCGCUGGAGGAGGAGAUCGAGAGGCUCGCGCGGGAGAAGGCCGCCCUCCAGGCCGACCUGUGGCGGUUCAGGCAGCAGCAGCCCGGGACCAAGAUCCAGCUCGACGACCUCGAGCGUCGCUUGGCCGAGAUGGAGCAGCGGCAGCACAAGAUGAUUGCUUUCUUGCAGAGGGCCUUGCAGAACCCCCGGUUCGUGGAGAAUCUUCGGAAGAUGGCAGUGUCUUCGUCAGUGGAUUUCUCGGCGAUCCAUAAGAAGAGGCGAUUGCCGGAGAUGGAGUCUUGCCAAGAGGCCCCAGAAAAUAGCUUUUAUGAUGAUCAUAGCAGCACUUCAAAAUCCGACGUCGGGCAUGGAUUCCACAUGGAUUUUUGUGAUAAGCUGAAAUUGGAGCUGUGCCCGGCUAUUUCGGAUAAUUUGGUCGCUGCGAGCACUCAGAGUUCCAAUGAGGAUAACGGGAGCCCGCACAUGAAGCAACCUGAGUGCGGUGUUGGAAGAAUGGAAAACCUUCCUUUGUCACCACUGCCGCUAGAUCUUUCGGAUACCGGGGCAUCUAUAUGUCCAACGAAGAAUUUGUUACUUCCAAGAGCAAUUGAUGAAGGGGAUGGGCACUUUUCAUGCCAUUUGAAUCUCACUCUUGCUUCAUCUUCAAUGCAAAUAGACAGUAAUCAGCAUUCAAGUAGAACUUCAAACUCAGUCGAUCAUGGUGUUGCCAAUGCCAGCGAGUUAGGGGCAUCUAACAUACAUAAGGAUGACAAUCUUGGUAAAGCUGUUGGGAAUAUCCAAAGUACUUCCCUUGAUGCAAAAGCUACCUCUCUGCAAGAGAUCACUCCAAGUAGCAAUCAAGAACCUGCAGCUCAUGAAGGAAGAGCGAAUGAUGUGUUCUGGGAGCAAUUCCUAACCGAAAGGCCAGGUUCUUCAGACACUGAAGAGGCGAGCUCGAGUUUCAGGGCAAAUCCUGGUGAUGAGCAACUGGAAGAGAGGAAGCAAGUCAACGAGAACAUAUGGAGAAACAGAAAAGAUAUGGAGCAGCUUACUCUCUGAGUUGCUCAUACAACAGUCUCUUCUUUGGUUCAGUACCAUGAGAUACAUAUGGAGGGAGUUCCAACUGUUCAAAUCUGUGAAUCAAUCAGGUCCAGUGGAUUCACUGUACUCUCAAGAAAGGAGAUCCUAAGUUUUACAAGGAUACAAUUUGCCAUGUAGGACUAGGAAGCAAGGAAGGCCGAAGAUGAACACCAUGAAAGCUGAGUGAGAACGUGCCUGCGAUCAUGAGAGGUCAUCAAAGUAGGUGAAUGCCGGUGGCUGCAAAGGUAAAAACCUUUUCUUUUUUUUUUAAUGUUUCCCUCUACUUAAAUUCUAAUGAUCUGAGAAAUUUGGGGAAGACACAAGAGAAGAGGGCCUUGAAGGCUACCGGGGCCUCUUUUACAUAGCUCUAGCUUCGAUUAAUUUAGAGAUGCAGAUAUGCUUUUGUAAUUGCAUUAUUCGAUACUUAUCUUUAAGGCAAAAAUAUGAUAUAUCAAAGCAAAAAAAUAUUUUUUUGAUCUGUAUUACAUAGUUUGCUUAUUCAGUCAUGAAUUAUAAAUUACUUUUGAUUGUAUAUAUA
This is an RNA transcript of Elaeis guineensis (African oil palm), 2082 nucleotides long. It is a transcript of the gene named heat stress transcription factor A-5, with no coding region annotated. The record is from RefSeq and is a predicted model, not a curated record. Lineage: Eukaryota; Viridiplantae; Streptophyta; Magnoliopsida; Arecales; Arecaceae.